Molecule: long non-coding RNA, 253 nt
Organism: Daphnia pulicaria
Lineage: Eukaryota; Metazoa; Arthropoda; Branchiopoda; Diplostraca; Daphniidae
Exons: 3
Source: RefSeq, a predicted model, not a curated record
CUCCAUGCUGUUUAGCAGUAAAAUAAAACUAAAAAUCUGAAUAGAAUGAUUAUGGGAGCUCAAAUAGAAUUGAGAAACCUGUGCCAAGUUUGUGAAAUGUCUGUGCCUGAGGCUGAGCAGCAUUUAUCAUAUUUGAGGCCUGAAGCAGCCGUCAUAACACCACAAGUUAUUGCUGGUAAUAAGCUGUCAUCAGCAACAAUCUCAGCAUCAUCACUUGGAUAAGCAUCAUCCCGUUUGAUUGGAGAAAACUACC